AUGUCUGUGGCUCCACACUUCAAUCUUGGACUUGUUCCCAGGGACAUGAAUGGUAGCAUUCCAGUUAGUUCUGCAAAUUCCUCUGGGCCAAGUAUUGGUGUUAGCUCUUUGGUUACCGAUGGCAACUCAUCACUCUCUGGAGGUGCCCAGUUUCAGCAUAGUACGAGCAUGAAUGCUGAUUCAUUCAUGCGCCUUCCUUCCUCACCGAUGUCAUUUUCAUCCAAUAACAUAUCUGGUUCGUCAGUCAUUGAUGGGUCUACCAUGCAGCAAAGUCCACCUCAAGAGCAGAUGCAGAAGCGGAGAUCAUCUAGUGCAACAUCACAGCCUGGGAUUGAGGCUGAUGGUUCAUUUCAUGGUCAGAAGAAGCCAAGGGUUGAUAUUAGGCAAGAUGAUAUCCUGCAACAGCAUUUGAUUCAGCAGCUGCUCCAAGGCCAGAGUUCUCUUCAUUUCCAGGGCCAACAUAAUCCACAGCUUCAAGCGUUAAUCCGGCAGCAGAAACUGGCACAUAUUCAGCAUCUACAGAAGCAUCAGUUGUCGCAACAGUUUCCUCAGAUCCAGCAAUCUCAAGUUGGCAUACCUCGACAGCCGCAGUUGAGGCCGCCGCUAGCACAGCCUGGGAUGCAACUACCUGGGCGUGUUAGGACACCUGUCGAGAGCGGGCUUUGUUCUCGUAGGUUAAUGCAGUAUUUGUAUCAUAAGCGUCAGCGUCCAGAGAAUAAUUCCAUAACAUACUGGAGGAAGCUUAUUGAUGAAUAUUUUGCACCACAAGCAAGAGAAAGAUGGUGUGUGUCGUCAUAUGAAAAAAGAGGGAAUUCUCCGCUUGCUAUUCCACAGACAGCUCAGGAUACAUGGCGUUGUGAUAUUUGUAAUACACAUACUGGGAAAGGAUAUGAGGCUACCUACGAAAUACUUCCUAGACUCUGUCAAAUUCGAUUUGACCAUGGUGUUGUAGAUGAAUAUCUAUUCCUUGACAUGCCCAAUGAAUUCCGGUUGCCCAAUGGAUUACUUCUCCUGGAGCAUACUAAAGUUGUUCAGAAGAGCAUCUAUGAUUAUCUACAUGUUACGCACGAGGGCCAACUGAGAAUAAUAUUCACUCCGGAACUAAAGAUUAUGUCUUGGGAGUUCUGUUCACGACGGCAUGAUGAGUAUGUCACUCGCAGGUUUCUAGCACCGCAGGUUAAUCAUCUGCUUCAAAUUGCCCAGAAGUAUCAAGCUGCUGCCACUGAAAGUGGGCCUGCUGGGGUAUCGACCAAUGACGCACAAGCCAUUUGCAACAUGUUUGCGUCAGCAUCACAACAACUAGCGAAAAAUCUAGACCACCACAGCUUAAAUGAACAUGGGCUUUCUAAAAGAUAUGUUCGGUGCUUGCAGAUAUCAGAGGUGGUGAAUAACAUGAAGGACUUGAUUGAUUUCAGCCACAAGAACAAGCUUGGCCCUAUAGAGAGCCUGAAGAACUAUCCCAGACAAAAUGGGCCAAAGCUUACAAUGCAGAACAUGCAUGAGGAAAAGGGGGCCAACACAGAAAUUAGCACCCAUGGGAAUAACGAGGCCCCAGGUGUCGGAACCAUUUGUAGCAGUCCGCAGAAUGCCGUGGCACAAAAUAACUACCAGAAUAUGCUGAGAAGCUCAAGUGCAAACCAGGGUUUGCUUCAGCAGGAGGCGUCACAGAAUGCCACGGCACUAAACAAUUACCAGAACAUGCUUAGAAGCUCAAGCGCAAACCAGCUUCAGCAGGAGGCAUCGCAGAACACUGCGGCGCUAAACAAUUACCAGAACAUGCUCAGGAGCUCGAGCGCGAACCAGAGCUUGCUUCAGCACGAGGCAUCGAGUAUGUUCAAAGGUCCUACAGGAAUGCACAAUGGCGUUCAGCUGGAAGUGUCCAGAUCUUUCCGUGCAGGUCAGCUCGGGCAGUUCCAGCAGCAUCCCAUGUCGUUUCAGCAAGCCAUGCCCCAGCAUCAGCAGAACAGUUUCGGGGCUGGUGCGAGCACACAGUACCAGCAGCACCUCAUCCAGCAGCUGCUGCAAGAAGCCAAGAGUAGCAACAGCCGUGUAAUGGCGCAGCAGCAGCAGCAGCCUCCUAGCGUGUCGGGACCCGUGAUCACCAACAACCCUGCUAGUGGAGACCAGGCACAUCACAUGAAUAACGGAGCCGUGGAGGGCGCCGCUCCAACGGGUACGACAGGGCCCAGCAAUCUGAUCAACAGUGGAGCCGGCAUCAUCCAACGAUGCAGCAGUUUCAAGUCGGUGAGCAGCAACCCGGCUGCCGGCGUGGCCGCUUCCGGCGGCAACCCAGCGAGUCCCAAGGCGGCGGAGUCCAUGCACGAGGAGGACGAGCUCGACCAUCUCAUCAGCAGCGAACUCGCGGAGAGCGGGCUGUUCAUGGGGGAGCAGCAGGGUGGCGGCGCCUACUCGUGGAACAUGUGA
This 2424-nucleotide ribosomal RNA is filed under the name Triticum aestivum (bread wheat). RNAcentral describes it as "partial small subunit ribosomal RNA". The record is from RNAcentral. Lineage: Eukaryota; Viridiplantae; Streptophyta; Magnoliopsida; Poales; Poaceae.